CACGUAGGGUGCGAGCGUUGUCCGGAAUUAUUGGGCGUAAAGAGCGCGUAGGCGGUGUGUCGCGUCGGCCGUGAAAACCUGCAGCUUAACUGUGGGCUUGCGGUCGAUACGGGCAUCACUGGAGUUCGGCAGGGGAGACUGGAAUUCCUGGUGUAGCGGUGAAAUGCGCAGAUAUCAGGAGGAACACCGGUGGCGAAGGCGGGUCUCUGGGCCGUAGCUGACGCUGAGGCGCGAAAGCAUGGGGAGCGAACAGG
Molecule: ribosomal RNA, 254 nt
Filed under: uncultured bacterium
Lineage: Bacteria
Description: partial 16S ribosomal RNA
Rfam family: Bacterial small subunit ribosomal RNA
Source: RNAcentral